This 78-nucleotide transfer RNA is filed under the name Chloroflexota bacterium. RNAcentral's name for it is "Chloroflexi bacterium (sediment metagenome) tRNA-Pro". It matches the Rfam family "tRNA". Rfam says of the family: Transfer RNA (tRNA) molecules are approximately 80 nucleotides in length. Their secondary structure includes four short double-helical elements and three loops (D, anti-codon, and T loops). Lineage: Bacteria; Bacillati; Chloroflexota. The record is from RNAcentral.
CGGGGCGUAGCUUAGCCCGGCCAAAGCGCGCGCUUUGGGAGCGCGAGACCGCCAGUUCAAAUCUGGCCGCCCCGACAA